Molecule: ribosomal RNA, 429 nt
Filed under: Pseudomonas sp.
Lineage: Bacteria; Pseudomonadati; Pseudomonadota; Gammaproteobacteria; Pseudomonadales; Pseudomonadaceae
Also listed under: 8 other names
Description: partial 16S ribosomal RNA
Rfam family: Bacterial small subunit ribosomal RNA
Source: RNAcentral
UGGGGAAUAUUGGACAAUGGGCGAAAGCCUGAUCCAGCCAUGCCGCGUGUGUGAAGAAGGUCUUCGGAUUGUAAAGCACUUUAAGUUGGGAGGAAGGGUUGUAGAUUAAUACUCUGCAAUUUUGACGUUACCGACAGAAUAAGCACCGGCUAACUCUGUGCCAGCAGCCGCGGUAAUACAGAGGGUGCAAGCGUUAAUCGGAAUUACUGGGCGUAAAGCGCGCGUAGGUGGUUUGUUAAGUUGGAUGUGAAAUCCCCGGGCUCAACCUGGGAACUGCAUUCAAAACUGACUGACUAGAGUAUGGUAGAGGGUGGUGGAAUUUCCUGUGUAGCGGUGAAAUGCGUAGAUAUAGGAAGGAACACCAGUGGCGAAGGCGACCACCUGGACUAAUACUGACACUGAGGUGCGAAAGCGUGGGGAGCAAACAGG